ACAAAAGAUCCAUCUUCCGGGGCGGGUUAAUGCCCGUUGACGACGAACUCUUCCUAUUCCAAGUCUCCGUCUGUCUGUCUGUACAUCGCGCAAUUGCAUCUGAAAUUUCAUUUUCAAUGUCAGUUUCCCAGCAACAUGAUUCUAUGAAGAGAACUGAGUUAGGAUCGGUGAAGAUUCAUCUUGACUGUGGAGAUGAGCAAGAACUACGACAACUGGGAGAGGCUGGUGCGUGCUGUUCUGCGGCGGGAGGGUGACAGGGAGCUAGCGUUGUUCCAUUCCGGGGAUCUCAGCAGCAUAGCAUCCAGCUCCCGAUCUUCUACUUCAGAUAUUAGUUUUAGCCAUGAAGAGUGGCUUGUUGAUCACAGUGAGUGGAAGGCGAUGCUACCACCUCAUCAACAGAUAGUAGCACGGAGAUCAGCUUUACGGCACAAGCACCGAAGAAUUAAAGAAGAAUGGGAGAUGGAUUCAGUGGCUCUUGAUGAUAUAAUAAACCGUUUGCUUGAGGUUCAAAGCAGGCCGGGGAAGCAGGUGAAGCUCUCGGAGUCGGAGAUCAGGCAGCUGUGUGUGCAGUCCAGACAGAUUUUUUUGCAACAGCCUAAUCUUCUUGAGCUGGAGGCACCCAUUAAGAUCUGUGGUGAUAUUCAUGGUCAGUAUUAUGACCUUCUAAGACUUUUCGAAUAUAGUGGAUCACCCUCAGAAUCUAAUUACCUAUUCCUAGGGGAUUAUGUCGACCGAGGGAAGCAAAGUCUAGAAACAAUCUGCCUUCUACUUGCGUAUAAGAUAAAGUAUCCUGAAAACUUUUUCUUACUAAGGGGCAGCCACGAAUGCAUAUCAAUCAAUCGCAUAUAUGGUUUUUAUGAUGAGUGCAAACAAAGGUUUAAUGUGAGACUAUGGAAAAUAUUCAACGAUUGUUUUGAUUGUCUACCUGUUGCAGCUCUAAUUGAUGACAAGUUGUUGUGCAUUCAUGGAGGUCUCUCACCUGACCUGGUUGGCUUAGAUCAGAUCAGAAAUCUACAGCGUCCAACUCAUGUCCCGGACUAUGGUUUACUAUGUGAUUUACUAUGGUCUGAUCCCAGUAAAGAUGUUCAAGGAUGGGGAAUGAAUGAUAGGGGUAUAUCAUAUAUAUUUGGUGCAGAUAAGGUGUCUGAAUUUCUUCUAAAGCAUGAUCUAGAUCUGAUUUGCCGUGCGCACCAGGUUGUUGAAGAUGGAUACGAGUUUUUCGCUGAUAGACAAAUGGUAACGAUAUUCUCGGCCCCAAAUUACUGUGGAGAGUUUGAGAAUGCUGGUGCGAUAAUGAGUUUGGACGAGAACUUGAUGUGCAGUUUUCAAAUAUUAGAACCUGUCAGAGAGAAACCCAAGUUUGGAUUUGGGAGUACAACAACAACUAAAGAACCAGGACGUCCUCAAACAAAAACAAAGUCAUUUCUUGGUGGUAGAAUAGGGUGAGAUCAAUUAGCUUACAAAGAUACAAGAAAUCUGCAUUCCGCGACAUCUGACAUAUCGGGUCGAAGGCAGUGCUUUAAUUUUCGGAUCGUCAUGCUGUUUGGAAGUUAGCAAGGUGGAACGGAAUAUAGAAGAUUUCUUCCCAAGAGUAAAACUGGGGAGCCUGGAAUGAAGGGUAAACCGUCAGGAUGCACACGGCACAAUUAAUAGAUAUUAACAGAAAGCAUGUGGAAACUAUACCUCAUGCCACCAUUGAACUACUUGAGCUCGGCUCGCAUUAGAUUUAAAUAAAACGUACAGAUUCGAGUUUGAUUUGAUUAUUAAUCAAAUGCAACUCAAAUACAA
Molecule: non-coding RNA, 1788 nt
Organism: Sesamum indicum (sesame)
Lineage: Eukaryota; Viridiplantae; Streptophyta; Magnoliopsida; Lamiales; Pedaliaceae
Source: RefSeq, a predicted model, not a curated record